Molecule: ribosomal RNA, 1490 nt
Filed under: Lactiplantibacillus plantarum
Lineage: Bacteria; Bacillati; Bacillota; Bacilli; Lactobacillales; Lactobacillaceae
Description: bacterial SSU rRNA
Rfam family: Bacterial small subunit ribosomal RNA
Source: RNAcentral
GACGAACGCUGGCGGCGUGCCUAAUACAUGCAAGUCGAACGAACUCUGGUAUUGAUUGGUGCUUGCAUCAUGAUUUACAUUUGAGUGAGUGGCGAACUGGUGAGUAACACGUGGGAAACCUGCCCAGAAGCGGGGGAUAACACCUGGAAACAGAUGCUAAUACCGCAUAACAACUUGGACCGCAUGGUCCGAGCUUGAAAGAUGGCUUCGGCUAUCACUUUUGGAUGGUCCCGCGGCGUAUUAGCUAGAUGGUGGGGUAACGGCUCACCAUGGCAAUGAUACGUAGCCGACCUGAGAGGGUAAUCGGCCACAUUGGGACUGAGACACGGCCCAAACUCCUACGGGAGGCAGCAGUAGGGAAUCUUCCACAAUGGACGAAAGUCUGAUGGAGCAACGCCGCGUGAGUGAAGAAGGGUUUCGGCUCGUAAAACUCUGUUGUUAAAGAAGAACAUAUCUGAGAGUAACUGUUCAGGUAUUGACGGUAUUUAACCAGAAAGCCACGGCUAACUACGUGCCAGCAGCCGCGGUAAUACGUAGGUGGCAAGCGUUGUCCGGAUUUAUUGGGCGUAAAGCGAGCGCAGGCGGUUUUUUAAGUCUGAUGUGAAAGCCUUCGGCUCAACCGAAGAAGUGCAUCGGAAACUGGGAAACUUGAGUGCAGAAGAGGACAGUGGAACUCCCAUGUGUAGCGGUGAAAUGCGUAGAUAUAUGGAAGAACACCAGUGGCGAAGGCGGCUGUCUGGUCUGUAACUGACGCUGAGGCUCGAAAGUAUGGGUAGCAAACAGGAUUAGAUACCCUGGUAGUCCAUACCGUAAACGAUGAAUGCUAAGUGUUGGAGGGUUUCCGCCCUUCAGUGCUGCAGCUAACGCAUUAAGCAUUCCGCCUGGGGAGUACGGCCGCAAGGCUGAAACUCAAAGGAAUUGACGGGGGCCCGCACAAGCGGUGGAGCAUGUGGUUUAAUUCGAAGCUACGCGAAGAACCUUACCAGGUCUUGACAUACUAUGCAAAUCUAAGAGAUUAGACGUUCCCUUCGGGGACAUGGAUACAGGUGGUGCAUGGUUGUCGUCAGCUCGUGUCGUGAGAUGUUGGGUUAAGUCCCGCAACGAGCGCAACCCUUAUUAUCAGUUGCCAGCAUUAAGUUGGGCACUCUGGUGAGACUGCCGGUGACAAACCGGAGGAAGGUGGGGAUGACGUCAAAUCAUCAUGCCCCUUAUGACCUGGGCUACACACGUGCUACAAUGGAUGGUACAACGAGUUGCGAACUCGCGAGAGUAAGCUAAUCUCUUAAAGCCAUUCUCAGUUCGGAUUGUAGGCUGCAACUCGCCUACAUGAAGUCGGAAUCGCUAGUAAUCGCGGAUCAGCAUGCCGCGGUGAAUACGUUCCCGGGCCUUGUACACACCGCCCGUCACACCAUGAGAGUUUGUAACACCCAAAGUCGGUGGGGUAACCUUUUAGGAACCAGCCGCCUAAGGUGGGACAGAUGAUUAGGGUG